AUUGUCGCCAAAAUGAACCAAGGAUUGAGUUCAGGGAAGGUCAAAAAUGGCGACAAAUUGAAAGUUUAUCUCAAAGAAGACCUUCCUGCAAGGCUGCACUAUUGGGAAAGUGAUAGGAUCCCUCCGAUUAUUGGGUUAGUCGAUGAAGGGUUUAAGGUUGAGCAAAAGGACUCGAAGAGUAAGGAAUGUGGAGGUGCACAUGGAUAUGAUAAUGCAUUUUUUUCGAUGAGAACGAUUUUUAUUGGUCAUGGUCCUCAAUUUGCUAGAGGUAGAAAGGUACCAUCUUUUGAGAAUGUUCAAAUAUAUAAUUUAAUUACUUCGAUUCUCAACAUACAUGGAGCUUCCAACAAUGGGUCUUUAUCUUUUGCAAAGAGUGUGCUUUUGCCUCAUCAUUGACUCAAGUUUGAGUGUUGAAAUCUGUGCAUGUUUUAGGGCAAUGCUGUUUAAUUGUUGUAGAUGUAAAGUUAAUAAUGGUGCUUAUAGCUUAAGAUGCAUUGGUUCAUUGGUUGAAUGUAACUUCUGAGUGUUUGAAUCUUGUUUGCAUCUAGAAAGGGUGGCAAUCUUAUAGUGUUAGGUUGGCGAGUUGACACUCAAAAAACUCAACCUAGACACCAACCAUAUAAUUAUUCGUGUCAUGUUUUUCAACACUAACUCGCAUUCGACUUGCCUAAUCCGUUUAAUUAUAUGAGUUUACAUGUUUGUGUAUCAUAUUUGGGUUCAUAUGUCAUACUUGAUUUACCAAUUUAUUGAUUUACUUUUACCGAUUUGAUUUAUUUGAUAAAUGUGCUGUUUAUUGUGUUUAAUCUAAGAUAAUAAAUGGUUUGGCGUGUUAACUUGCAAGUCUUUUCCCCACCCAAACAAGAUCCUUAUAAUAAACGGGUUAUAUGGGCCAACUCAUUAUGACCCGGAGCCGUUUAAAGUCAACCCAAAAGUGUCGUCUGUGAGAAUUGCUACCCUUACAUAUAGACCAGGGGCGGACCUUAGUGGAGCCCGGGCUACUGCUCAAUUUCCGACACGUAGUGUAAUUUUUUUUUACUAUUAGGUGCACGGCUUGAAGUACGAGUGACACCCUUAUUAAAACAUUCUGCAUCCGCCACUGAUAUAGAGAAAGAUUAAAGUUCCCAAAACCAAUACUAAAAAUGAUACGCAAAGCAGACAAAACCAAUAAAAAAAUGAUACAAAACUAAUGAGACUUGUUUGAAAGUAAUUUCUUAGCGUUAUACCAAAGACUUUUAAUACCAAUUAUAGUUGCAUGGGAAAGAUGUAAAAUAUGAUAAUUAAUGAAAAUAACAUUAUUUAAAAACGACUUUUAUGAUGCAAUUUAUGAUCUAUGAAUUUAUUUAGAUUGUUGUUAAGAUGUCAAACCGUCAAAGAAUAGUGUAAGACUGGGUUUUGGGGGUACACAAAGACUAAAGAGUUAUAACUUUUUUUAUUAUAUAAUUAUUUCUAUUAAAUAUUUAAUUAACAUUUCAUUUAUAAAAUAUAAAUUUAUAACAAUAAUAUAAUAUUUUCAGUAUUUUUAUCUUAUUUCAAUAUUUUUUUACAGUUCUUUUUCAUACUCAACUUUUUCCUAAGGGUUCUUCUUGACAAAUGAGUUCCAAGGUUUUUUUUCCGGUUUUUGAUGAAUAACCUGAAUUCAAUUAUAUAUUUCUUGACAAAACAAAUGUGUCACGAAGUCUGAUAGCCUCUGGUCCUUUUGCUUAAAAAAUACAAUUAUAAUUAAAAAAAAGUCUAAAAAAGUGUUAAAACUCCAAAAAUACCUCAUUAGUUGUUUAAUAACAUCAUUUUUUAAUUCAAAAAGUCCUGCUUUCAUGUAUUAACCGUUGAUAAAUGCAGGGAUUGCGUUAUGACGAAAAUCACUUUAAACUUUUAUCAAUCUCUGUCAUCAACUUCACACAAGAUAUUGUUUAUAAUUUAGGCUAUUUUUCGCACCAAACAAAUGAUGAGGGGCUCUCAUUAGGAAGAUAUAAAUACCAAGCAGUCAAAAUAUUGUCAAAAUGACGCGAUAUAAGUAAUUUAUUAUGUUGUUUCCUAAACAAAUUAUUCCUGAUGUAUGUCCAUUCUUACAUUUGCUAUAUUUUUAGCAUAUGCACGAUCCCUUUACUAAACCACCAGAAAAGAAGCAAUGUUGGAUAAUAUAGAUGUAAUCUUGCAAGUUGGCAAGUUUCCUCUAUACCACAUUGGCGGGGGGAAGAAAUAUUGUGUAGGUUUAUAAGUCUUUUCCCUUGAUAGGCCUUCAAGGGCUUUAGUGGAUCAAAGGAAUAAGCCAACCCACACAUGCACGCCUAGGGGUGUCAAUUUAUGACACGACACGAUAAAAAUACACGACACGAAACGAAAUUGGGACGAAAUCAAAAUUCGUUUUCGUGUCGUGUUCGUGUCAAAUAUAAAAAACACGAUGUCGUGUCGUGUCGUGUUCGUGUUUACAAAUUGACACGAUUGAGCAUGUGUUUGUCGUGUUUUUCGUGUUUUUCGUUUUUAUCGUGUUAUAGAUGAUUAAAUAUGAAUUAAAUAAAAUAAUAGUUAUAUAAUAUUAUCUUUGUCGUGUCGUGUCGUGUUGUCGUUUUUUAAUUGGUUCGUUUUCGUGUUAGUGAAAUAAAACACGACAUUGUGUCGUGUCGUGUUCGUGUUACAAAAAACAUUGUCGUGUCGUGUCGUGUCAGACAAAAACACGACACGAUGGCACGAUUUGACAGGCCUAUGCACGCCUAGCCUAGCCUAGCACUAGCCGAUGUCACGAGUGCGAGAAAUGGCACGAUUUAGGCGCACGACGCAUCGGUUGCUUGGAGCUGAGGAUUUUUAUUUUUGGCAAAGUUCGAGUCAAGUCAGUUUGACCAAUCUAGUCAAACGGUUGACUUCGUAUACAUGGCAACAUAAUACUCUGGAAGGGUUAGAAAAUGACUAGCUUGGAGAGCAAGUCGUCGCACUAGUGUUUCCAGGGGCCGACUCAUGUGGGCCCCUUUUCUGCCUUCUAGGGUUUCGAUGCCUAUAAAUACAGCUAGGAGCCGUAUUUGAGACUCACGGAUUUUGAAGCGCUCUCUCUCUCUCUUUCUGCGAUUUCUUAUAGUUUCUCAGUAUUCACUUUGCGUUUACCGUUUUCCAUUGCUGUUGGAAACUCGAUAAAUCCACAUUAAAUCCUGAGGUUUUACUCUGUUACUUACAACCAAUAGAAGCGAAGUAAAAACCUUUAAGGACAAGAGUCUAAUUCGUGUAGUUAUUCAACGUUCAAGAUCAGUUGUUAACAGGUUGGUUUUAUAUUAUUGUCUUGUUUUUAAUUUCGUCCAAUAACAGGACACUCUCCUUCUACCUUUCUUAUAAUCAAAUCUAAUCGAGAAUGAUUAAUCUGGUUUCUGGACGAAACUUGGUAAUCAUAUUAAUAAUAAUUGGAUCUAUUAUUCGCAACUAAUCAACAUAUAAUUCUCAAUAUUAUUUGUCGGUUUCCUUGCGUGUCUAUUGGUUCUGAUUUACAACAAUCUUAAAGAUUUUUUUUUUUAAUUUGUGUUCAUAAAUCAAUAGACUAAUGAACACCUAAAUCCCAACUGCUAGUCUCCACUACAUGAACCAGGAGUUUGCCAAGCUUGAACGAUUCAAUGGUCAGCACUACACCCAUUUGGCUGACAAUGUCAAGUUCGUGCUUCAUGUGUUGAAGCUCGCCUAUGUUUUGGACCCAAAAUUGGCCCCAAUUCCCGAUGAUCCAUUUCCCGAGACGGGGAAAAAUGUGGAUCCAACGAUCAUAUCUGAUCUGGAAAAGUAAAGGCUCUGCGUAGAGAGUCUCAGGAAUUGUAUGUGGGUCGCAUCAAGAACUCACUGUCUGAUCGACUCUAUGAUAUUUACGUGCCAGUCAAAGAUCUGAGAGAGCUAUGGAGUACUUUGGAACUCAAGUACAAGUCACAUGAGGAAGGUACCAACAAGUACCUAGUGUCAAAGUACCUCGAGUUUCAAAUGGCUGAUGAUAAACCUAUCAUGGAACAAGUGCAUGAACUCUAGGUCAUGGUCAAUAAGUUGAACGUGCUCUCCAUCUCGAUACCAGAACUCUUUCAGGUUGGUGCAAUCAUCGCAAAACUUCCACCAUCGCGGAAAGACUUCUCUAAGAGAAUGAUACACAAAUACGAGGACUACUCCUUGGAUGAUUUGAAGAAAUACCGUCGUAUUAAGGAGGAUACUUGCAUCAGGGACAAACGUGUUAAAGUCGGAUCGAGUGUGAACCAUGUAUCAGUUGGGGGUUCUGGUCAUAAGACCAAGUUUGGGGGACAAAACAAAAGAAACUUGGGACCCAAGAAACAAAGCUUCAAGAAACUAAGUCAUUAGAAUCCUAACUCAUAUAUGUAGAGGGCAGGACCUUGCCACAUUUGCGGAGAGCUUAUGCACUAUGCGAUAGAAUGCAAAGAUCACAAAUUAGGACCGGUUUCACAUGCAGUCGAUCAAAUGACUGAUAUGGUGGCAAGUGUGAACCUUGGAGAGAUUUUCAUGAUCACUUCUCUUACCCGAGCAAUAUGUGCUCGAGGAUGGUCCGUAGAGACUGGAUCCAUUAUGUAUGUUUGUGGGCAACGAGAGAGAUUCCACACUUAUCAUCUAAUGCCACCAGGAACGAUAGUUGUCUGUGUUGAUGGUCACAUAGCUGAAGUUCAAGGAAGAGGCGAUGUUCGUCAGAAGUUCACAUGUGGUGAAUAGGUUACCCUUUGAGAUGUUCUUCAUGUUCCAACGAUCUGGAAGGGGUUGGUUUCUGCGGACAAGUUUGACAAAGGUGGGUUCAAGAUGGAGCUUGAGAAAGGAAGGAUUGUGAUCACUAAGGGCAGAAGAUAUGUUGGGAGGGGGAACAAUUGUUUAAGGAUGUAUUGUUUGUGCCUUGAUGAUGAAGGUAGCACAAGUGGGUAUAGUGUUGAUAGUAAUGGUGAAAGUGUUGCAAGUGUGUCUAGUGUUACUAAUAAUGAUGUAAUUGAUGGAUUGGUUGCUAAUGUGAAUGAAAUGAACUUUUCUUGUUAUUUUGUUUGUUCAAUUUCUUUAUGGCAUAAACGUUCAGCACACACUAAUAUUAAGAAUAUUGAAAAAAAAUUCAAACUAAAGGAAUGUUAAAAUACGACUAAAAAGAUUUUGAAAAAUAUGAAACUUGUGUGAAAUCAAGGUUUACAAAGAAACCAUUUCCAUCAGUUAAGAGAAAUACAUCAUUACUUGAGCUGAUUCAUUCUGAUAUAUUUGUAUUAAAUGGAAUACUUACUCGAGGAGAAAAAAGGUAUUUCAUCACAUUUUGUGAUGACUCCAAUUGAUAUCUACAUGUUUAUUUUCUGAGAUCAAAAGAUGAAGCUUUUUAUGCAUUUAAACUGUAUAAGGCUGAAGUCGAAAAUCUACUUGAAAGACACAUCAAAAUUCUUUGCUCGAACAGAGGCAGAGAAUACUUCAACCAAAAGUUUUGACACAUUCUGUGAAGAGAAUGGAAUCAAACAUGAGAGAACUUCAUCAUAUACUCCCCAACAUAAUGGUUUGGCUGAAAGAAAGAACCGAACCCUUUGUGAGAUGGUUAGCUAUAUGUUGAACCAGUGGCAGAGCCAAAAUUUUUUAUAUGGGGGUACAAACAUUAUCAAUAAAUAUUCUAUGUAGUUAUCAUAUCUGGGGCAUUAAAAAACAUCAUAUUAUCCCUUUAGUUGGGGGUACAACAACAUAAAACAUGUUUAGAAAUAAUUAUUUUAUAUACAUAAAACAAAUUUUUUAGGGAUGCUGUAGUACCCCCAACGCCCCACGUAGCUCCGCCACUGUGUUGAACCAAUCGGGUCAACCAAACAAUCUGUGGGGGGAAGCACUAUUGACUGCUUGUUAUGUUCAUAAUAGGAUCACUAGUCGUGUGAUUCUUACAAGCCCAUAUGAGUUGUGGAAAGCUAGAAAGCCUAACAUAGACUAUUUGAAAGUGUGGGGGUAUGUUGCUUAUUAUCGGACUCCCGAUCCAAAGCGAACCAAAUUGGGAGCACAAGCUAAUAAGAGUAUAUUUAUUGGAUAUGUUGACAAUAGCAAGGCUUACCGAUUAUUAGAUAUUGAAUAAGGUGUUGUCGUGGAUCCAAAGAUGUGGAAUUCUUUGAGGACAAGUUUUCUAGGGAUGAUGAAAACUCUAGUUAUACAACACCUACAAGUACUUCUUGAGAAAUACUCCCACCUCCUCCUAUUGUGGAGGAACCAAGGGGAAGUACUAGGGUUAGAAUAGAGAAAAGUUUUGGAGACGAUUUCUAUUCUUAUUUGGUCAAAGGAACACAAAAGAAAGUGACAAGAGAUGUCAUCUUUUUCCAUUAACUUGGAUGAUGAUCCUAAGACCUUUACUGAAGCCAUGACAUCUAGGGAUGCUCCUUUGUGGAUGGAAGCCAUCAAUGAUGAAAUGGACUCAAUUAUGGGUAAUGGAACUUGGGAGUUAGCUGACCUACCCAAGGGGAGGAGACCCAUAGGAUCCAAAUGGAUAUUCAAGAGAAAAUAUCAUCCAGAUAGAUCCAUAUAUGCCUAUAAAGCAAUAUUAGUUGCUAAAGGCUACAAACAACGAGAAGGGAUCGAUUAUUUUGAUACCUAUGCCCCAGUUGCUAGGAUUAGUUCUAUUAGAACUCUCAUAGCAUAUCAGCAUUGAAUGGACUAUAUACAUUCAUAAAAUGGAUGUGAAGAUAACCUUUCUGAAUGGUUAUCUUAAGGAAGAGAUUUACUUUGAGCAGCCCGAAGAUUUUAUGAUACCCGAAUAGGAAAACAAAGCUUGUAGACUUGUUAAAUCCUUGUACAGGUUGAAGUAAGCUCCCAAAUACUGGCAUGAGAGAUUUGACACCACUGUGACUGCUUUCGGAUUUUAGAACAAUAAUGAUGAAAGAUGUAUUUAUUCCAAAUACACAUCCAAUUACAUAGUAGUACUAUGUCUUUAUGUUGAUGAUAUGUUGAUCAUUGGAACUCACCUAGAAGGUAUUCUUGAGAUGAAGAAAUACAUAUCCUCGAACGUUAAGAUGAAAGAUCUUGGUGAAGUUGAUACAAUUCUUGGUAUCAAGGUGAAAAGGAUAGGCAGUCAGAUUUCUCUAAGUCAAUCUCAUUACAUAGAGAAAAUUCUGACAAAGUUUCAACAUUUGAAUAUUAAGGAAUUCAACACUCCUUUUGAUUUAAGUGUGAAACUUAAUGUGAAUUCUGGAAGAACAGUGGCUCAACUAGAAUAUGCAACUGUAAUUGGGAGCAUGAUUUAUGCUACUCAUUGCACUCGACCUGACAUCGUAUUCGCUAUAAGCAAACUGAGUUAAUAUACUAUCAAUCCAGGGACGAAGCCCUGGAAGGCAGUGGGUAGAGUACUAGGAUACCUGAAAAGGACAAGUACUUUUGAGUUGAUGUAUUCAUCAUCAAAUGGAAUAUUAUAAGGGUAUUCUGAUACUAGUUGGAUAGAUCACACUGGUGACUCGAAAUCCACAAGUGGUUGGAUUUAUACUCUAGCUGGCGGUGCUAUUUCUUGGGCGAGCAAGAAAUAGACAUGCAUAGCUUAUUCAAUGAUGGAUGUAGAGUUAAUUUCCUUAGUAGCAGCAGGAAAAGAGGCAGAGUGGAUUCAAGAUAUACUUAUGGAUAUCCGUCUGUGAGAUAUUCCAAUGCCUUCAAUACCCAUGUACUGUGACGGUGAGGCCACACCGUCUAAAGUAUAUAAUAUGGUAUAUAAUAGGAAGUCGAGACACAUAGGUCUGCGACAAAAUUUUGUGAGAUAGCUAAUUGAAAGUGGUAGCAUCAAAGUUGUCUAUGUCAAGACACGUAGGAACUUGGCAGAUCCGUUUACCAAACUUCUGUCGAGAGAUUUGGUUACAUCUACCACGAGAGUCAUGAGUCUAAAACCACAAUAGAAUCACUUAGUAAUGGAAACCCGACUUGGUAUUAAUGCUCUUAAUUCUAAAGUUUAAAGGGUAAGAAUGAAGCCACUAACGAUAGAAGGUACUAUCAUCAAUGAUAGAUACAUGUGAGGUAGGAUAGUACGUUGUUGCUGAGAAUGAGGUUGAGUUACAACUCUUAACAAAGUUUUGGAGACAUUUAAGAAACGAAGAUGUUAUAAAACUUCGCCUAUAUGAUCUAGAGGUGGUGUCGCCUCAAGUGAAGAUUAGUGGUUUAUCUUCUAAAGGGUCAUGAAAAGGAUUUAUAGCGCAUGACCAUAUUAGCGCUUAGGGAGAACGCAAAGACGACAUGUGAUGUGUAGGGGUAAACUGGAGAGGUUACAAGGUUCAUGCUUUAAACCUAUAAGGAUACCAUUGAAUUGGUCUUUUCUUGUUUGUUCUCAUUAAACUAAGGUUUAAUCUUCAUGACACCCAAGUGACAUCCUGUGUCUGAGUGAAAGGAAACUUUCCAACUUGGGGGGGGGGGGAUUGUUGGAAAUUAUGGAGGUAAUCUUACAAGUUGGCAUGUUUCCUCUAUCCCACAUUGGCGGGGGAAGAAACCUUCUGUAAGUUUAUAAGUCUUUUCCCUUGAUAGGCCUUCAAGGGCUUUAGUGGAUCAAAGAAAUGAGAAAAACCCACACACACACGCACGCCUAGCCUAGCCUAGCACUAGCCAAUGUCGCGAGUGCGCGAAAUGGUGCGAUUCAGGCGCACUUGGCACUUGGCACGACACAUCAGUUGCUGGGAUCUAAGGAACUUUUAUUUUUGGCGAAGUUCGAGUGAAGUUGGUUUUACCGAUCUGGUCAAAUGGUUGACUUCGUACAUAUGGAAACAUAAUAUUCUGGAAGGGUUAGAAAACGGCUAGCUUGGAGAGCAAGUCGUCUCCCUAGGGUUUCUAGGGGCCGGCCCAUGUGGGCCCCUUUCUGCCUUCUAGGAUUUCGAUGCCUAUAAAUAUAGCUCCCUAGGAGCCGUAUUUGAGAUUCACGAAUUUCAAAGCUCUCUCUCUCUCUCUCUGCGAUUUCUUUCGGUUUCUCAGUAUUUACUUUGCGUUUAUCAUUUUCCAUUGUUGUUCGAAGCUUGGUAAAUUUGCAUUAAAUCCUGAGGUUUUACUCUGUUGCUUACAACCGAUAGAAGCGAAGUAAAAACCUUUAAGGACAUGAGUCCGAUCCAUGCAGUUAUUCCACGUUCAAGAUCAGCUGUCAUCAGGUCAGUUUUAUAUUAUUGUCUUGUUUUUAAUUUCAUCAAAUAACAGGACACUCUCCUACUACCUUUCUUAUAAUCAGAGCUAAUCCAGAAAGAGUAAUCUGGUUUCUGGACGAAACUUGGUAAUCAUAUUAAUAAUAAUUGGAUCAAUUAUUUGCAACUAAUUGACAUAUAAUUCUCAAUAUUAUUUGUCGAUUUCCUUGUGUGUCUAUUGGUUUUGAUUUACAACAAGCAAGGCAAGCAGAAGAAGAUGUUGAAAGGUGAAUUCACAUCCUUUAAAUUGAUGAUAUCUCAAAAAAGGCUUGGAUUUACAUGUUACUUCUCUCUUCGUCUUUCUCAAACUUAUUCUAAAAGGUAAUAUUUUUCUACUUUUAAUCAUAGUAUAUAUAAUACUUAACUCAGUUAUAUAGGAUCUACCAAUUGAGUUUCUUAUGAAAACAGCCCACUAAACAAUUUGGAAGGUUAUUUUGAAAUUGCAAGAAUGAGACACAACUAUGUUCUUUCGUUUCAUCUUUGCUUCUUACUUGUCUUUUGAAUCAUUUACCUUAUUUUCACCAUUAAAACCAUAUUAAUAUCAUUAUUCACAGGUUAAACGAUGCAUUUUCUCUUACCUAAAGCUUGAAUUUGGACAACUUUGGUUUGUUGUAUCAGAAACAGAUGUAUGAUUUUUUCCACUCUUUUUAGUGACUUUGUUGUUGCUUUUGCAGAUUCUGAAUCUGAUAAAAAAUGACCUUCUGAAUUUACAUUUAAAGUGGUAAAACUUAUAAUAAUAUUACCUUAUGCAUUUCUAAAAGAGUAACAAAAUGAUAACAAGGUUAAGUUGAUAAGGUUAAUAUCAAUCUCUUAAAUUUUAUGGCAUUUUCACCACUUUGGUUGGACGAGAAUGAUUUGGUUUUGGAUUUUGGUAAUUUUCAAUCAACUUGCUUUUGGAUUUGCUUGGUGGGGGAAAUGGUGUCAUACAUUUUGUUGACUCUUUAGGUAGUCUCAAGAAAAUCAUUUAUUUUAUAUAUCACAAGCACUUGUGAAAUCCCUAUUUCUAGCAAAGUAUCUGAGAGAUAAAGGGAAUCAAAACCACGAAAAUCCCAAUUUUUUAAACCAAUAUCUCCGAAGAAAGUACAUUCACCUGUAGAUACAUAAGAGGUUGACAUCUCGAUAAAAAAUCAUAAAAAUUGUAUGUGGAUAUGGUUAAUCCAAAAAGAAAGAAAUGAUAAAUGAAACUACUAAAACUUGACAAAUAAGAUUUGGUUCAUUAAGGGCGUGUUUGACAAAAGUAGCUGUUAGCUGGAAGCGUGUAGCGGUUAGCUGGUAGCGGGUAGCUGGUAGCUGGUAGCUGGUAGCGGGAAGCUGUAGCUUUUAUUUGUUAUAUGAAUGUUUGGCAAAAGUAGCUGGAAGCUUUUGAAAUAUAUAAAAUUACAUAAAAGGACAAUUGAUUAAAAAUAAAAAUAUAUAUAAAUAUAUUUUUAAAGGUAAUUAUGGAAAUUGAUUUCAAAAGCUCCGGAGCGUUUUGUUAAAAGCUACAUGAAGUAGCUUUUAGAAUCGGAGCGUUUUGUUAAAACUAAAAGCUAAACGCUCGUACUGCCAAACGAAGCUUUUUGUUUAAAUUGGAGUGUUUUGUCAAAAACUAAAAGCUAGAAGCUCCCAAACGCUUCCAAAAGCUCCGUGCCAAACACACCCUAAGUCCUAUUAACUUUUAACAAUAAAUCAUCUUAUUUAAAAUUUUCAUUUUAUUUCCCUGCAUUUGUAACAAGUAAUUUUGAACUUUAGGCUUUGCUUGAAUGUCGCUUUUUAGUUGAUCACAGUCUUCGCUUUACUUAUGAAAAAUGUUCGAAUUUCUCAUCAUUUUGAUUCAUAUUUUUGUUGUUUUAUUGGUAACGUGUUUAUGUUUUGACCAAGUCCUAAUUUCUUAAAUCGUUAACUGUUGACAUAAAUUUGUGGAGUGUGCACUUGAACAUCUAUAUUCUUACCAAAUACCUUCAUCUGGAGCAUCUUCGACUUAUCGUGUUUGACAAAGUAUUGUCACUUAAAGCGUAUUGAUAUAUUACUUAUUUUUAUAUGUUAGUUUUCUUAUAUUUAUUUAUUAUCUAUUGUUUAAGAAAAAAAGCAUUUUACUAAAGCAUUUGAAUUUAAAAAAUCACUGCAUUUGUCUUAUCUAGGAAUUUUACUUUUGAAAAUCUAUCAAUUUUAACAUUGUACAUUCAUUUUUCUUAAUGUAAACAUUUUUUCUUUUAAAAGUCAACCGAUUUAUAACAUUGCAACUUUAUGUUUUGUUGCAAUUACAACUUGGUUUUUAAUUUUUUUUAUAAAAACAUAAGUCAACCGAUUUAUCUCAUUGUGGUUGGUUAAUUUCUAUGCGACAUUACUGUUGGUAUGGUCUCAUCCACCUUUAUUAUACUAUAAAACUUCUACUACUUCAGUAGUUGUAUUUUGGUAACAAAUGAUGCUUCAUUUUGAAAACAAGUCAUAUGUAAGAUUAGUGUUUCUCAUCAACCUAUCUUUGUUUGACACUUUCAUAUUAUAAAUGUUUUAUUAUUGCAUUUUAAAAAUAACUAUAUAUACAUAGAAUAAUUUCAAAAAUCUAAAUAUGUUCAAUACAUAUCGAUUGAAGGCAAACGGGCAACAAGCUGCGCCGCUAGCCCUUUUUGAAUGACAAAACAUAUUCUUUUGAAAACAACAUUUGUGGAUCUAGGAGAUAUGACAUUAGAAUGCAUGACCCGUUGGACUCUGUUAAGGAGCUCCACCGCCUCUGGUGCGAGAAAACCAAAUGUAUCGAAUGCAAAAGGAACAAACACAUGUUGAUUUUCUCUACAUGCAUUGUCGUGCUUUACCACUUUGCACGCAGCGGCUUUCAAAGCGGCAUGCCCAGCUGCGAAACCUCCGCUCCCCAAACCAACUAGAGGAGAUACACCAGUAAGAUCCACGCACGCAUGCUUCCCUCCUAUCCAUCCAAAGACCAAAAUGUCAGCCGGUCUAAGUGUGGACCUGCCAUCCUGCGGGUCCGUCAAAAAGUUCACUGACGCUUCUUUCUUCACAGAUAUACCAGCACGCCGACAAGCAUCAAAGAGAACAUCCCAAACCACAUCAUGUCUAUACUUGAAACCAGGGAGCUCUCUACAAUGAACCGCGUGUUCCCCAAAGGUAUCCAAACAUGUCUUGCGACAAACUGGACAUAUCUCGUCAAUUGGGAAUAUGAGAAUCAUGAGGCGGUAACGAAGGAUAGUUCGGUACUCCACAGGAGACAUAUGCUGGCCAAGACCAUCAAUAGGGAUAGUUAGCAGAAAAUGUUGAGCAUGAGGCGCCCACAGACACUCAAAGACUGCUUUAUGUCUGACAGUCAUCUCGAAGUUGACUUCCGGACGAUUUUGCUAAAAAGGGCACAUGCCAAAACUUUUUGGGAUUUAGGGGGGACGGUGUCCUUAUUAGUGAAACUGCUACAGUCAAAUCCCGGAAUCGUAUCACGGAGACGAUAUUGCAUUUUAGAUGCUUAAUCUUUCUAUUCUACUAGGAUGUUCAACAAUUAAUUCUAAAGGUGAGAAACUUUUUUGAAUUGAUCAUCUAAAUAAUGUUGUUCUCUUGAUUCGGCUAAAUAUUGAUCAUUAUGUUUUUUUGUUCCUAGAUUGUCUCUCGGAGCUCUAUGGACUUCUUUGAUGGGAUUUGGCAUCAAGUUGUUCAUUUUCCUAAUUAUGGUCUUAUUCAUCAGUAUGUUGUCUUAUAGUUCCUUACUCUUUUACAAAUUAACACUGUAUUACAUAGAAAUUGUUUUGGUUAUGCAAGAACUAUAUUAGAGCAGAAUAUUAUAAUUGAUUUUUUACAUGGUUUACUGUACUGUUGUACUCAUUAUUAUGAUUCCAAAAUUUUCAAAUUUCAAUCAAUUCUUUAUUGGUCAAAACUCAUUCAAACCCGCACCAACAACACGUGUGGUUUCUACUAGUUUAUAUUUAAGAUAAAACAGCAAAUAUGAUCCCGGUGGUAUGCAUUUUUACUGAGGUUUAGUCCAAACCUUGACUUUUUUGGUUUCAUGGUCCUUUUGAGGUAAUUUGUUUUUGGAAUUGGUCCAUAUUAAACUUGAAAAGACUAAUCUACCAUUUUAAUUUGUUUUUCUAUUUUCUUAAACAUUUUUUCUUUUUAUUUAAAUUUUUAGAAGUAAAAACAAAUAAAGAACCCCCCUCCCUCUCACACACACAAUCCACAAAAAAUUACCACCCACCACCAUCAUCUUCCUCCCUACCCUUCACCUAUAGUUCAUACUCCAAACCCUUCACUUGUUAUCACCAUCACAACCAUUUCUGAGGAUUAAAACAUACACACACAAAAUUAAAAGCACAUAAUCAACUUCAACGAGAUCUAUUUAGAAAAUUUGAGACUUUGAUCCUGAUUACGAAGAAUAGAAUUGGCAGAAGCAACUUCAAAAACACUCACCUUUUUGAGCUCCGGCCGACAGAUGACAAUCUUGAGGAAGCACACGAUGGCAUUCCGCUAUUGAGCAACAUUGGGGUUGUUAAUCUUGCAGAAAUCAAUAAAUAUUCAAGGUUGUUAAUUUUGCAGGAUUGAGCCUCCAACUAGUAAUUCACCAUUGUUGUUCCUUGUAACAAAUGAUAUGGGUUCAUGUGGUUGACUGGAAAACCAUAAAGAAGCAGAUGAUGAGUUUAGUCGAUGAACACACACACAUUUAUUUCGAGUAUGAACCCUAAUAUGUGCGAUUUCCGAUGAGAGAUGGUGAUCUACGAGCAACAACAAUGAGCAGAUAAUAAAUCUAUGCAUUUUCAAUUCAAAAUGUACUACCUUCUCUCUAUAAUUCUACUUGUAUUUUGUGUAUCCUUUUGAUCUCUAUGCAUGGAUUCUUAUGAUUGUUAUGAUAAAGACGAAAUUUGCAGGGGAAGAUCGGAGGUAAAGUCACCAGGGGGUGAUGAUCGAAGGUAGAGUUACAAGAUUUGUCUGUGUGUGUUCUAUGUCCGAAUUCACAAUCAAAUUUAUAGAGACAAAAUUGAUCUGAAUUUUUCUUUGGUUGAAAAAAUUGUUUUGUAUGUAGGUUUUAAAGUGAAUUCAAUGUAUGAGUUUUGAAUAUAAGUGUCAACCUUGCAAAAUUAUGGGACCAAUUUUGUUAAAUCCAUAAAUUUACUGUUCCUAAGCAUUACAUGCUUUAAUAUAUAUAUNNNNNNNNNNNNNNNNNNNNNNNNNNNNNNNNNNNNNNNNNNNNNNNNNNNNNNNNNNNNNNNNNNNNNNNNNNNNNNNNAUAUAUAUAUAGAGAGAGAGAGAGAGAGAGAGAGAGAGAGAGAGAUUUAAAAAUGUAGAUUAGUUUUUUCAAGUUUUACAACAACUAAUUUGACAAACAAAUUAUCUUAGAAAGACCAACAAAUCUCACAAAUAAAUUACCUUAAAAAAACCAACAAAUCUCACAAAUGAAUUACCUUAAAAAGACCAUAAAGUCAAAUAAAUCAAAAUUUAAACUAAACUUAAAAAAAAAUACAUACACAUGACAUUUUUAUAGUUUUUUCUACAUUUAAACAAAUAUAAAAGAUUUAUGUAGUAUUUUUUUUUUAACAUCAAAAAUCAAAAAGAUAUGAAAAGAAAUAUUUUGAAUUGGGCGCGUGGGCUAACAACAACAAGAAGGCAAGUACACAAACAACAACGUUGCCCGGUCAACACCAUCUGGACUUAAAAAAAAGCCGCCAAUAAGUUGACUAAAAAUAUCCAAUGUCAAGCUCAAUCGCAAUAGACAAAGUUAUGUACAAAUCCAUAAACGUAACACACAACCAAAUAAUGCUCUUCAAUCUAGACCACAAAAUCCAACAAUUUUAAAACCUCAUCAAGAAUUUCCCUAAAUUGUUCUUGUAUGUGUGUAAUUUUCUCACUGAAAUGGGAUUAGAUGCUAUCAAACCAUCACCGGUGCCGACCGGAGAAGAAAACACACCAAAUCAAUCCACCACCACCACCCCAACAAAACCCUCUACCACCAUCGUCCUCCUCUUCUCCGUCCUCCUCUUCUUCUCCUCUGUUACAUCCACCAAUCACCACCACAGCACCACCGCUCUCCAAAUCGCCCGGCCACUCAGUAAACUCACUCACCCAGUCGUCAUCCUCAUUUCCUCAGAUGGGUUCCGAUUUGGGUACCAAUUUAAAACCCCAACACCCAACAUCCAUCGACUGAUCAAAAACGGAAUCGAAGCUGAAACCGGAUUGAUUCCAGUCUACCCAACGUUAACCUUCCCAAAUCACUACUCAAUCGCCACCGGAUUAUACCCUGCUUAUCACGGAAUCAUAAACAACCAAUUCAUUGAUCCAAUCGCAGGUGAUACUUUCACAUUUACCAGCCAUGAACCCAAAUGGUGGCUAGGCGAACCCAUUUGGGAGACAAUCGCGAACCAAGGGCUCAAAGCGGCUACAUAUUUCUGGCCUGGAUCCGAGGUAAAAAAGGGUUCUUGGGAUUGUCCUGUGAAUUUCUGUGCACACUAUAACGAAUCAGUCCCAUUCGAAGAACGCGUUGAUACUAUCCUCCAUUAUUUCGAUUUACCAAAUGAAGAAAUUCCUGUUUUCAUGACAUUGUAUUUCGAGGACCCUGAUCAUCAAGGUCAUCAAUUUGGCCCUGAUGAUGCUCAUGUUACUAAAGCUGUUAGUAACAUCGAUGGGUUGGUUGGUCGAUUGAUUAACGGAUUGGAAAAACGUGGGGUUUUCGAAGAUGUUACCAUAAUCAUGGUAGGUGAUCAUGGAAUGGUUGCUACUUGUGAUAAAAAAUUAAUCUUUUUAGAUGAUUUAGCUUCUUGGAUCAAGAUUCCGAAAGAAUGGGUACAAGAUUAUGCUCCUGUGUUAUCUAUUCGUCCACCUUCUGAUCAAUCUCCUUCUGAAAUUGUCGCCAAAAUGAACCAAGGAUUGAGAUCGUUAAAAAAUGACGACAAAUUGAAAGUUUAUCUCAAAGAAGACCUUCCUUCGAGGCUGCAUUAUUGGGAAAGUGAUAGGAUCCCUCCGAUUAUUGGGUUAGUGGAUGAAGGGUAUAAUGUUGAGCAAAAGGUCUCGAAGAGUAAGGAAUGUAAUAAAUGUGGAGGUUUACAUGGAUAUGAUAAUGCAUUU
This 16115-nucleotide long non-coding RNA is filed under the name Lactuca sativa (garden lettuce). Its description in RNAcentral is "long non-coding RNA (LSAT_LNC007162)". Lineage: Eukaryota; Viridiplantae; Streptophyta; Magnoliopsida; Asterales; Asteraceae. The record is from RNAcentral.